Long non-coding RNA from Bufo bufo (common toad), 334 nucleotides. RefSeq lists it as uncharacterized. NCBI's taxonomy places the organism in Eukaryota, Metazoa, Chordata, Amphibia, Anura, Bufonidae. The record is from RefSeq and is a predicted model, not a curated record. The transcript has 2 exons.
UGAAGUGCAGAAAGUAGGGCAGGAGGCGGGACAUGAUAGAGCAGAAAAUAGGUGGAGCCUGAAGGGCAGAAGGCAGAGCAUAGAGGGUAGAAAGGCGGGCAGGAGGUGGAGCCUGGAGGGCAAAAGGCGGAGCUUAGAGUGCAGAAAGGCGGGCAGGAGGCAGAGCAGAAACGUGGAGCCUGGAGAGAAGGAGGCGGAGCCAAGAGUGCAGUCAGGAGGUGGAGCCUAGAGUGCAGAAUUGAGGGCAGGAGGUGGAGCCUAGAGUGCAGAAUGGAGGGUAGAAGGUGGAGCCUAGAGUGUAGAAAGGAGGGCAGGAGGUGGAGCCUGGAGUGCA